AAGAAAGUGGCAGCUGGCAAUGCGCCUGGCUUGAAAUCAGGUAAAGGGGGUUCGAUUCCUUCUUUUCUCG
This 70-nucleotide transfer RNA is filed under the name Megophrys carinense (Burmese horned frog). RNAcentral's name for it is "tRNA-Ser". It matches the Rfam family "tRNA". Rfam says of the family: Transfer RNA (tRNA) molecules are approximately 80 nucleotides in length. Their secondary structure includes four short double-helical elements and three loops (D, anti-codon, and T loops). Lineage: Eukaryota; Metazoa; Chordata; Amphibia; Anura; Megophryidae. The record is from RNAcentral.